This 429-nucleotide ribosomal RNA is filed under the name bacterium. Its description in RNAcentral is "partial 16S ribosomal RNA". It matches the Rfam family "Bacterial small subunit ribosomal RNA", at positions 355 to 776 of the family's 1533-position model. The record is from RNAcentral.
UAGGGAAUCUUCGGCAAUGGGGGCAACCCUGACCGAGCAACGCCGCGUGAGUGAAGAAGGUUUUCGGAUCGUAAAGCUCUGUUGUAAGAGAAGAACGUGUGUGAGAGUGGAAAGUUCACACAGUGACGGUAACUUACCAGAAAGGGACGGCUAACUACGUGCCAGCAGCCGCGGUAAUACGUAGGUCCCGAGCGUUGUCCGGAUUUAUUGGGCGUAAAGCGAGCGCAGGCGGUUUAAUAAGUCUGAAGUUAAAGGCAGUGGCUUAACCAUUGUUCGCUUUGGAAACUGUUAAACUUGAGUGCAGAAGGGGAGAGUGGAAGUCCAUGUGUAGCGGUGAAAUGCGUAGAUAUAUGGAGGAACACCGGUGGCGAAAGCGGCUCUCUGGUCUGUAACUGACGCUGAGGCUCGAAAGCGUGGGGAGCAAACAGG